Molecule: unclassified non-coding RNA, 338 nt
Filed under: soil metagenome
Description: partial contains 5.8S ribosomal RNA, internal transcribed spacer 2, and large subunit ribosomal RNA
Rfam family: 5.8S ribosomal RNA (bases 1-119)
Source: RNAcentral
GAUGAAGAACGCAGCGAAAUGCGAUAACUAAUGUGAAUUGCAGAAUUCAGUGAAUCAUCGAGUCUUUGAACGCACAUUGCGCCCCCUGGUAUUCCGGGGGCAUGCCUGUCCGAGCGUCAUUGCUGCCCUCAAGCACGGCUUGUGUGUUGGGCUCCGUCCCCCCGGGGACGGGCCCGAAAGGCAGCGGCGGCACCGAGUCCGGUCCUCGAGCGUAUGGGGCUUUGUCACCCGCUCUGUAGGCCCGGCCGGCGCCAGCCGACAACCCAUCAUCCUUUUCAGGUUGACCUCGGAUCAGGUAGGGAUACCCGCUGAACUUAAGCAUAUCAAUAAGCGGAGGA